RNAcentral lists this ribosomal RNA (1484 nucleotides) under Togula britannica. RNAcentral describes it as "LSU rRNA". It matches the Rfam family "Eukaryotic large subunit ribosomal RNA", at positions 48 to 1436 of the family's 3401-position model. Lineage: Eukaryota; Dinophyceae; Gymnodiniales; Gymnodiniaceae. The record is from RNAcentral.
AAGUAAGUGASCAAGAACUAAAAAGGAUUCCCUCAGUAAUGGCGAAUGAACAGGGAUAGGCUCAAUGUGGAAUCCAGGGCCCUCGGUCCUGAAUUGUAAUCUCUAGAUGUAUUGCCAAGGAAGACUCAGAUUUGAACCUCUUGGAAAAGAGUGCCAACAAGGGUGAGAGUCCCAUUGUCAAUCUGUAGACCUUUAUGAACGGCACAUCUUCGAAGAGUCACGUUCCUCGGAACUGGAGCGCCAGCAGGGUGGCAAAUGUCAUCUGAAGCUAAACAUAGUCUUGAGACCGAUAGGGCACAAGUACCGUGAGGGAAAGGUGAAAAGGACUUUGAAAAGAGAGUUAAAAGUGUUUGAAAUUGCUGAUGGCGAAGCGAACGGAGCCAGUAGCGUUUGGGGGGAUUGUUCCGUGCUCACCAAAAGGGCGUAGUACCUUAACGCAAGUAAGGUGAUGGGUCCUGAUUGUGGGCAUGAGAUGCUUCUUUCCUUGGGUGUAAUGUUCAUUUCGUAGUUGAGACUGCCCCCAACGAUGUGCAAUUUCGGCACUUGCCGAAUGACUGUUGCUGGGUGAGCUCAUCUGUGAUCUGAAUCACUGUGAGUCUGGAUGAAAUCGUCUUGUGUCUCUCAUCUGGUAGUACCAUGUAACUUGGGCUGCAUGAUCAACUGCCUGUGGCACAUCCCAGACGCAAUUCAUGUCGUAACGGCUUCUUUCGACCCGUCUUGAAACACGGACCAAGGAGUUUGACGCAUCUGCAAGUUCAUGACUGGACAAACUUAUGUACGCAAUGAAAAUAACAGCUGGGAGGUACGUCGCGCCAGCAACUGAUGUGCCAAUUGAGACAGGUUUGAGUAUGAGCAGAUUCGUCAGGACCCGAAAGAUGGUGAACUAUGCUUGAGAAGGGCAAACUCAGGGGAAACUCUGAUGGAGGCUCGUAGCGGUACUGACGUGCAAAUCGUUCGUCGCACUUGGGUAUAGGGGCGAAAGACUAAUCGAACCAUCUAGUAGCUGGUUCCCUCCGAAGUUUCCCUCAGGAUAGCUGGAGUUAAACAGUUUUGUCAGGUAAAGCGAAUGAUUAGAGGAAUUGGAGACAUGUUGUUUUCGACCUAUUCUCAAACUUUAAAUGGGCAAGAUCUGGUUGUUCCUAAAUUGAACUUCUGGGACAAAUAUAAUCUUUAAGUGGGCCAUUUUUGGUAAGCAGAACUGGCGAUGAGGGAUGAACCUAACGUUGGGGAAAAGUGCUUCACUGCUCGCUCAUCAGAUACCAUAAAGGGUGUUGGUUCAUUUUAACAGCAGGACGGUGGUCAUGGAAGUCGAAAUCCGCUAAGGAGUGUGUAACAACUCACCUGCCGAAUGGACUAGCCCCGAAAAUGGAUGGCGCUCAAGCGGGUGACUGAUUUCCAACCAUUGUUGCAGCUUCGAAGCAACAUUGAGUAGGAGGGCUUGGGGCUUUGUGAAGAAGACCUUGAUGAGAAUCUGAUUGAACAGU